This 244-nucleotide ribosomal RNA is filed under the name uncultured Glycomyces sp. Its description in RNAcentral is "partial 16S ribosomal RNA". It matches the Rfam family "Bacterial small subunit ribosomal RNA", at positions 280 to 524 of the family's 1533-position model. The record is from RNAcentral. Lineage: Bacteria; Bacillati; Actinomycetota; Actinomycetes; Glycomycetales; Glycomycetaceae.
CGGGUAGCCGGCCUGAGAGGGCGACCGGCCACACUGGGACUGAGACACGGCCCAGACUCCUACGGGAGGCAGCAGUGGGGAAUAUUGCACAAUGGGCGAAAGCCUGAUGCAGCGACGCCGCGUGAGGGAUGACGGCUUUCGGGUUGUAAACCUCUUUUAUCCACCACGAAGGCGGUGUAUUCGCACCGUUGACGGUAGUGGUUGAAUAAGCGCCGGCUAACUACGUGCCAGGGCCCGCGGCCGA